AGAGUUUGAUCCUGGCUCAGAACGAACGCUGGCGGCAGGCUUAACACAUGCAAGUCGAACGCACCGCAAGGUGAGUGGCGGACGGGUGAGUAACACGUGGGAACGUGCCUUUUGGUUCGGAAUAACUCAGGGAAACCUGAGCUAAUACCGGAUGUCCUUCGGGGGAAAGAUUUAUCGCCAUUAGAGCGGCCCGCGUCUGAUUAGCUAGUUGGUGAGGUAAAGGCUCACCAAGGCGACGAUCAGUAGCUGGUCUGAGAGGAUGAUCAGCCACACUGGGACUGAGACACGGCCCAGACUCCUACGGGAGGCAGCAGUGGGGAAUCUUGCGCAAUGGGCGAAAGCCUGACGCAGCCAUGCCGCGUGAAUGAUGAAGGUCUUAGGAUUGUAAAAUUCUUUCACCGGGGACGAUAAUGACGGUACCCGGAGAAGAAGCCCCGGCUACUUCGUGCCAGCAGCCGCGGUAAUACGAAGGGGGCUAGCGUUGCUCGGAAUUACUGGGCGUAAAGGGAGCGUAGGCGGACAGUUAAGUCAGAGGUGAAAGCCCAGGGCUCAACCUUGGAAUUGCCUUUGAUACUGAUUGUCUUGAGUAUGGGAGAGGUGUGUGGAACUCCGAGUGUAGAGGUGAAAUUCGUAGAUAUUCGGAAGAACACCAGUGGCGAAGGCGACACCUGGCCCAUUACUGACGCUGAGGCUCGAAAGCGUGGGGAGCAAACAGGAUUAGAUACCCUAGUAGUCC
RNAcentral lists this ribosomal RNA (736 nucleotides) under uncultured bacterium. RNAcentral's name for it is "bacterial SSU rRNA". It matches the Rfam family "Bacterial small subunit ribosomal RNA", at positions 8 to 796 of the family's 1533-position model. The record is from RNAcentral.